AGGAGAACAGAAUAUAUUUAUUCCAUUUUGGUCAGACAGCUCAGAGGUCAUAGAAAAACUGAAGAGGGUUUGCAUUUUUAAAUUUUUUUUUUGCAAGCAGACAGCACUUUGUCCUUGUGAAAAUAGAAAUGCAUUGGCAGAGUGCCUGAGUCCAGGCUGAAAAAUCUGAUUUCAAGGAGAGAAAGACUAUUUAAGGUCUCACAUUAAUAUAGGCUAUUUAUUUUUGGGGGGGCCAGUACUGUAAUUAAUCUAAUCUGUCUAGAAGAGAGAGAAAAAAAUUAAUGAAACAGUAAUUUUCAAACUAUUUGAAUUUCUUUGAAGUAAUUUUAUAGUAACCUGUUGUGACAGAAAGUGGCAUUAGCUAAGUAGCCUCUUGAAAAUAGUCAUGAAAAUUUUUAAAACAGGAAUAGGUGCAUAAGUUUUAAUUUGUGGUUUUAUUCAACUCAGGGUAAUAAAUUAAAGUAGAUUGUAAUGUAACCAUUAUGUCCCUAGGAACACCCAGUUCAAAAUACUGGCCGUUAUAAAUCAAGUCUUUGAACUAUUUCUAAGUACUGUCAUUUUCAGCCAGUUCCAUUACCUUGCUGAUGGUUUCCUGCGACUUAGUAAAGUGAAUUUUUCCAAAUAUCAGUGGGGGUGAAUAUAUAUAUAUUUAAGCUUACAAGGAUAUUUUUGAAAACCGAUAAUGCAAGUUAAAAAAAAAGAUCUUGUUCAUCAUCAAAAAUUAA
This is a long non-coding RNA of Xiphophorus couchianus (Monterrey platyfish), 725 nucleotides long. RefSeq lists it as uncharacterized. The transcript is spliced from 2 exons. Lineage: Eukaryota; Metazoa; Chordata; Actinopteri; Cyprinodontiformes; Poeciliidae. The record is from RefSeq and is a predicted model, not a curated record.